Acanthosepion pharaonis is the source of this 112-nucleotide non-coding RNA. NCBI's taxonomy places the organism in Eukaryota, Metazoa, Mollusca, Cephalopoda, Sepiida, Sepiidae. The record is from the annotation of a GenBank genome assembly.
GGUUUAUGGCCACAGUGAAACACCAGUUCCUGUACAACAACUAAAAUUAAGCAACAUUGAGCCUGGUCAGUACUUAGAUGGGUGAUAGCUUGGGAAUACCAAGUGCCGUAAG